UGACUUUCUAAAGAUGUUGCCAUUGGGAGA
Molecule: non-coding RNA, 30 nt
Filed under: Mus musculus (house mouse)
Lineage: Eukaryota; Metazoa; Chordata; Mammalia; Rodentia; Muridae
Source: RNAcentral